AAUAUUAAGAGCAAUACAGAACUUAACACUGUUAGUGAAGUAUGAAAGACCUGCUAACUUACUUGUACCUGAGGAAACAUGUGCAGAUGCAAUGGAAUGUCCUGUUCUUUGGCAAAUAGCAACUCCUAAGCACUGGAAUCUCGUAACAGUAGAAGCAACUCUUCGAAUUCCAUCAGAAAAAGAUGAACAAUUUAAGAAGAAAUUUGUACGGAAAGGCUCCUUGAAUAUGUUGACAACAAUAGCAGCAAAUGUACUUAGUGAUUCUAAAGCAUUUGAAGCUGCGGUCAUAUCCUUCCUUACGAAAAUGAUAGAAGACUGUGAUAUCAAUACAGAAAUACCUUGCGUUGUUGAUGUCAGGCUUCAUAUUUUGAAUGCUAAUGAAGAUAUAUCAAAAUUAAGGAAAAACAAAUAUAACCAGACUUUGGUUUAUGAUGGAUACCGUAUGUCCUUUCAGCCGGGCAGCAGUUCUCAUAAUGGCGUCGAAAAUGCGACAAAGCUCACGUGCUUUUCCAUUAAAAAAAUGGCAAUUUUUAGAAACGGCAUUGACGUCACGAAAAAAGCUGCGUAAAGAAAUUUAACCUGUUUCCCAUUCUAAACCAAGUAUACCUUUUGAUGCGACAGGUUCCAAACUUUCACUACGUUAUUAUUAAAAGGCUGAAAAUACAAUAUUUCAUUGCAAAUUUGGUGGUGAAAGAUGAAAAUACGGGCCGCGGAAGUGACACUUGAAAAUAAAUAAAUGUAAAUUGAAAUGACACACGAAAUAGUAACGUCUAUUCCUAUAGAUGAGAUAAUAACUAUUGAUAUUUUGUUGAAGAAAAGCCCACUGAUAGAAAAACUCGACAGGUAAACCGGCCCAGUGACGAUUCAACAAGUCGAAAAAUAGGACGUUUAAAGGGGAAUAACUCGACCCCAAAACAACAACAACAAUACGACGGUGAUCAUAAAUUGGACUGAACAAAUGUUUUCCCCUUUUUAUUGAUUUGUAAGCAGUGUGACUGGGCACAAAUUUGAAAGUUUAAUAAAAAUGUGAGUUUCAGUUUAUGAAAAUAUCAUUGAAAAAGCGGUCAUUUGUUAAAUAUCGUGUCUGCCUGACAUGUAUCUAUCUAUCUUCCCGUCAUGGAGUGGACUCAUUUUUGAGUGUAUAUACUCCAGCGUGAGUGAACAGCUGAAAA
Molecule: long non-coding RNA, 1172 nt
Organism: Mytilus californianus (California mussel)
Lineage: Eukaryota; Metazoa; Mollusca; Bivalvia; Mytilida; Mytilidae
Exons: 3
Source: RefSeq, a predicted model, not a curated record